RNAcentral lists this ribosomal RNA (492 nucleotides) under uncultured bacterium. Its description in RNAcentral is "partial 16S ribosomal RNA". It matches the Rfam family "Bacterial small subunit ribosomal RNA", at positions 29 to 507 of the family's 1533-position model. The record is from RNAcentral.
AGUGAACGCUGGCGGUAGGCCUAACACAUGCCAGUCGAACGGCAGCACAGUAAGAGCUUGCUCUUACGGGUGGCGAGUGGCGGACGGGUGAGGAAUACAUCGGAAUCUACUUUUUCGUGGGGGAUAACGUAGGGAAACUUACGCUAAUACCGCAUACGACCUACGGGUGAAAGCAGGGGAUCUUCGGACCUUGCGCGAUUGAAUGAGCCGAUGUCGGAUUAGCUAGUUGGCGGGGUAAAGGCCCACCAAGGCGACGAUCCGUAGCUGGUCUGAGAGGAUGAUCAGCCACACUGGAACUGAGACACGGUCCAGACUCCUACGGGAGGCAGCAGUGGGGAAUAUUGGACAAUGGGCGCAAGCCUGAUCCAGCCAUACCGCGUGGGUGAAGAAGGCCUUCGAGUUGUAAAGCCCUUUUGUUGGGAAAGAAAAGCAGCAGGUUAAUACCCCGCUGUUCUGACGGUACCCAAAGAAUAAGCACCGGCUAACUUCGUG